Non-coding RNA from Coffea arabica (coffee), 1967 nucleotides. The record is from RefSeq and is a predicted model, not a curated record. Lineage: Eukaryota; Viridiplantae; Streptophyta; Magnoliopsida; Gentianales; Rubiaceae.
AAUAAAAUGUUUUUUUUUGACACGUGCAACGAAACUACACCGUACGUCUCCUUAUUGUACCGGGCUUCCUUUUGACUCUUGCCUCUCUCGCAGAACCCCCAAACCCUAAUCCCUAGUUUUCUCAUCAGUCGCGAAUCUCGUUGUCCUCUGCGCCACCUUCCAUCCUCUGCAAGAAGAAUGAGUCGCUCAAGUAGAACUCUUUACGUUGGUAACCUUCCUGGUGACAUUCGCGAGCGUGAAGUGGAAGAUUUGUUUUACAAGUAUGGACGAAUAGCGCAUAUUGAUUUGAAAGUUCCGCCUAGGCCUCCAGGUUAUGCUUUUGUGGAGUUCGAGGAGGCCCGUGAUGCAGAGGAUGCUAUCCGUGGUCGUGAUGGUUAUGAUUUUGAUGGACAUCGUUUGCGGGUGGAACUGGCGCAUGGGGGGCGUGGUCAUUCAUCAUCAACUGAUCGUUAUAGUAACCACAGCAGUGGCCGAGGGCCCCGUGGUGGAGUUUCCAGGCGAUCUGACUACAGAGUGCUAGUCACUGGAUUGCCGCCUUCUGCUUCCUGGCAGGAUCUUAAGGAUCACAUGCGUCGAGCUGGGGAUGUCUGUUUCUCCCAAGUUUUCCGGGAAGGGAGUGGCACUACAGGAAUUGUGGAUUAUACAAAUUAUGAUGAUAUGAAAUAUUCUAUCAGGAAGCUUGAUGAGUCUGAAUUCCGGAAUUCCUUUUCUCGUGCAACAAUACGUGUGAAGGAAUAUGAUUCUAGCCGCUCUAGGAGCCGCAGCCGCAGCCGUUCUUACUCGAGAGGAAAGAGUGGUAGCCGCAGCCCGAGUAACAGUCGGAGUAGGAGCAUGAGCAAGUCUCCUAAAGCUAAAUCUUCUGGCCGUUCAAGAUCCCGCUCGAGGUCUGCAUCUUCACGGUCUCCCUCUAAGUCUAGAGCAAAAUCUCUUUCAAGAUAUGGAUAUAUGCAGCGAUCUGGGGAUUGCAUAAUAUGAUCUUGAUGGGAUAUGGUUCAGUUGCCUACAACUCUUUUGGUUGUGGAGGUAUGAUGUCUUUUAGAUGGCAGCUUUGGAAUCCUUCAUGGUGACUGUUCUAAUAAGCAUCGUAAAUGUCCAUCGGUGCUAGAUAUGGGAACAAGAAGAUCAUGGAUUUUGAUGGUGAAGCGGGACUAUGAACUAAUUGGCAUAUGAAUUUUGGGACCGCCAUCUAUGUGUGGUAGAAACGUUUUAACUGUCUCCAAAGCUUCCGUGCUAAUUAAAGCAUACUCUCUGACUUCCAUAGUAUGAUUCUGGUUAUUCGUGUUUUUAAGGAGCUUUGUUGGCUUUUUGAAGGUUCUUAUCCUAACUUAAUUGGGCCAUUUAUUUAGGUUGAAUAUGAUGCUUUUCCCUUGUGUACUGCUAAAUGUUUGUGAAUAUCCUCUUUUCUAUUUUGAUUGUGGUAAACUCUGACGUGGAAUGGCAUACAAGGCUCUUGGAUCAGAGUUGUUAAGAGGAACAUGUGGAUAUUAAAUUGGGUUGUUUCUGGAACUUUUGCAGAUCUCCAUCAAGAUCCAGAUCCCCCUCACCAUCUCGCCAGAAACGUGCUAACAAAAGCCCAAAAAGGGGCAGCCCAAGUAAGAGUGAAAGCAGGAGUAGGAGCCGUACUCGUAGUAGGAGCAAAAGUCCAUCAAGGUGAGCUAUGGUAUUCGCUGGUUUCUGCUGCGCCCUAGAUCUGCAGAUAAGGUGCUCUCUGCUGGAUUAGAUGCGUAUUAGGAUCUGCAGUUGGUUGUCAAUCGUGGUUAACAGAGUUAUUGAUGUAUGAGGAACCAUUUUAUUUUGUGUUUUCUUGUAUGGGCAUGUUGCGGGACAUUUGAUCGCGAGAAUGGUGGAAUGUUGAAUUUGGCAUUUUGUCCAGAUGUAAUCAUGAAUUAAUAUUUCGUGGAGGGCCUGCAGAUGGCUUGGUCCUCGAUUAACUAUAACAUUUCCUUGUGGCGCUACAGAUUCUCCGA